AUUGAACGCUGGCGGCAGGCCUAACACAUGCAAGUCGAGCGGAUGAAGGGAGCUUGCUCCUGGAUUCAGCGGCGGACGGGUGAGUAAUGCCUAGGAAUCUGCCUGGUAGUGGGGGAUAACGUCCGGAAACGGGCGCUAAUACCGCAUACGUCCUGAGGGAGAAAGUGGGGGAUCUUCGGACCUCACGCUAUCAGAUGAGCCUAGGUCGGAUUAGCUAGUUGGUGGGGUAAAGGCCUACCAAGGCGACGAUCCGUAACUGGUCUGAGAGGAUGAUCAGUCAAAAUGGAAAUGAGAAAGGGUCAAGAAUCAAACGGGAGGAAGAAGGGGGGAAUUUGGGAAAAGGGGGGAAAGCCUGAACCGACAAGGGCGGGGGGUGAAAGAAGGUUUUGGGAUUGAAAAGCAUUUUAAGUUGGGGGGAAGGGAAAAAAGUUAAAACCUUGCUGUUUUGACGUUACCAACAGAAAAAGCACCGGCAAACUUCGG
RNAcentral lists this ribosomal RNA (483 nucleotides) under uncultured bacterium. RNAcentral describes it as "partial 16S ribosomal RNA". It matches the Rfam family "Bacterial small subunit ribosomal RNA", at positions 29 to 506 of the family's 1533-position model. The record is from RNAcentral.